AGUGAACGCUGGCGGCAGGCCUAACACAUGCAAGUCGAACGGCAGCACAAGAGAGCUUGCUCUCUGGGUGGCGAGUGGCGGACGGGUGAGGAAUGCAUCGGAAUCUGACCAUUUGUGGGGGAUAACCUCGGGAAACCGGGACUAAUACCGCAUACGACCUACGGGUGAAAGCAGGGGAUCUUCGGACCUUGCGCAGAUGGAUGAGCCGAUGCCGGAUUAGCUAGUUGGAGGGGUAAAGGCCCACCAAGGCGACGAUCCGUAGCUGGUCUGAGAGGAUGAUCAGCCACACUGGGACUGAGACACGGCCCAGACUCCUACGGGAGGCAGCAGUGGGGAAUAUUGGACAAUGGGCGCAAGCCUGAUCCAGCCAUGCCGCGUGUGUGAAGAAGGCCUUCGGGUUGUAAAGCACUUUUGUUGGGAAAGAAAAGCAGCCGGUUAAUACCCGGUUGUCAUGACGGUACCCAAAGAAUAAGCACCGGCUAACUUCGUG
Molecule: ribosomal RNA, 490 nt
Filed under: uncultured bacterium
Lineage: Bacteria
Description: partial 16S ribosomal RNA
Rfam family: Bacterial small subunit ribosomal RNA
Source: RNAcentral